This 72-nucleotide transfer RNA is filed under the name Camelus dromedarius (Arabian camel). It matches the Rfam family "tRNA". From Rfam's summary of the family: Transfer RNA (tRNA) molecules are approximately 80 nucleotides in length. Their secondary structure includes four short double-helical elements and three loops (D, anti-codon, and T loops). The record is from Rfam by way of RNAcentral. RNAcentral also lists the same sequence under 1 other name. Lineage: Eukaryota; Metazoa; Chordata; Mammalia; Artiodactyla; Camelidae.
GAGAAUAGAGCUCAGUGGCAGAGCACGUGCUUAGCAUGCAAGAGGUCGUGGGUUUAAUCCCCAGUGCUUCCA